AUCCUUUUAUGGUUCAUGAACAUGAUGAUUGGGUGUUCACAUACGUGUGUGAGACGUGCCACCCUCGAACCAUGUCAUGACGUCAGCACAUAACCCAUCUGACC
Molecule: small nucleolar RNA, 104 nt
Organism: Callithrix jacchus (white-tufted-ear marmoset)
Lineage: Eukaryota; Metazoa; Chordata; Mammalia; Primates; Cebidae
Source: Ensembl